RNAcentral lists this ribosomal RNA (506 nucleotides) under uncultured bacterium. Its description in RNAcentral is "partial 16S ribosomal RNA". It matches the Rfam family "Bacterial small subunit ribosomal RNA", at positions 30 to 523 of the family's 1533-position model. The record is from RNAcentral.
AUUGAACGCUGGCGGCAGGCCUAACACAUGCAAGUCGAGCGGCAGCGGAAAGUAGCUUGCUACUUUGCCGGCGAGCGGCGGACGGGUGAGUAAUGUCUGGGGAUCUGCCUGAUGGAGGGGGAUAACUACUGGAAACGGUAGCUAAUACCGCAUAACGUCGCAAGACCAAAGAGGGGGACCUUCGGGCCUCUUGCCAUCAGAUGAACCCAGAUGGGGUUAGCUAGUAGGUGGGGUAACGGCUCACCUAGGCGACGAUCCCUAGCUGGUCUGGGAGGAUGACCAGCCACACUGGAACUGAGACACGGUCCAGACUCCUACGGGAGGCAGCAGUGGGGAAUAUUGCACAAUGGGCGCAAGCCUGAUGCAGCCAUGCCGCGUGUAUGAAGAAGGCCUUCGGGUUGUAAAGUACUUUCAGCGAGGAGGAAGGCGUUAAGGUUAAUAACCUUAGCGAUUGACGUUACUCGCAGAAGAAGCACCGGCUAACUCCGUGCCAGCAGCCGCCGUAA